AACGGUCUAUACCUGCGGUACCUGCGGAGGGAUCAUUACAGAGUUUAGGGUCCCAGUGGCCCGAACCCUUUCAACUCCCUUGGUGUCUCUACCAUCCUGUUGCUUCGGCAGGCCCCAGUAGUGCCUGUCGGAGCCUUGCGAUAGAAUCUUUGUCAUGAAUGGCUUGGUCUGAUCUCUAGAAUAUAGAAUUUAAUUGAAAACUUUCAGCAACGGAUCUCU
This 219-nucleotide unclassified non-coding RNA is filed under the name soil metagenome. RNAcentral describes it as "partial contains 5.8S ribosomal RNA, internal transcribed spacer 2, and large subunit ribosomal RNA". The record is from RNAcentral.